GACGGGGGCCCGCACAAGCGGCGGAGCAUGUGGAUUAAUUCGAUGCAACGCGAAGAACCUUACCUGGGCUUGACAUACACCAGAUCGGCGCAGAGAUGCGUUUUCCCUUGUGGUUGGUGUACAGGUGGUGCAUGGUUGUCGUCAGCUCGUGUCGUGAGAUGUUGGGUUAAGUCCCGCAACGAGCGCAACCCUUGUCUUAUGUUGCCAGCACGUGAUGGUGGGGACUCAUGAGAGACUGCCGGGGUUAACUCGGAGGAAGGUGGGGAUGACGUCAAAUCAUCAUGCCCCUUAUGUCCAGGGCUUCACACAUGCUACAAUGGUCGGUACAACGCGUGUGCGACACUGUGAGGUGAAGCUAAUCGCUCUAAAGCCGGUCGUAGUUCGGAUUGGGGUCCGCAACUCGACCCCAUGAAGUCGGAGUCGCUAGUAAUCGCAGAUCAGCAACGCUGCGGUGAAUACGUUCCCGGGCCUU
RNAcentral lists this ribosomal RNA (472 nucleotides) under uncultured Corynebacterium sp. RNAcentral's name for it is "bacterial SSU rRNA". It matches the Rfam family "Bacterial small subunit ribosomal RNA", at positions 912 to 1382 of the family's 1533-position model. Lineage: Bacteria; Bacillati; Actinomycetota; Actinomycetes; Mycobacteriales; Corynebacteriaceae. The record is from RNAcentral.